This 837-nucleotide ribosomal RNA is filed under the name uncultured archaeon. RNAcentral's name for it is "bacterial SSU rRNA". It matches the Rfam family "Archaeal small subunit ribosomal RNA", at positions 21 to 859 of the family's 1478-position model. The record is from RNAcentral.
GGUUACUGCUAUCGGUGUUCGCUUAAGCCAUGCGAGUCAUAUGUUCUUCGGAACAUGGCGUACUGCUCAGUAACACGUGGAUAACCUGCCCUUGGGUCCGGCAUAACCCCGGGAAACUGGGGAUAAUUCCGGAUAACGCACAUAUGCUGGAAUGCUUUAUGCGUCAAAUGGAUUCGUCCGCCCAAGGAUGGGUCUGCGGCCUAUCAGGUAGUAGUGGGUGUAAUGUACCUACUAGCCUACGACGGGUACGGGUUGUGAGAGCAAGAGCCCGGAGAUGGAUUCUGAGACAUGAAUCCAGGCCCUACGGGGCGCAGCAGGCGCGAAAACUUUACAAUGCGGGAAACCGUGAUAAGGGGACACCGAGUGCCAGCAUCAUAUGCUGGCUGUCCGGGUGUGUAAAAUACACCUGUUAGCAAGGGCCGGGCAAGACCGGUGCCAGCCGCCGCGGUAACACCGGCGGCCCGAGUGGUGAUCGUGAUUAUUGGGUCUAAAGGGUCCGUAGCCGGUUUGGUCAGUCCUCCGGGAAAUCUGAUAGCUCAACUAUUAGGCUUUCGGGGGAUACUGCCAGGCUUGGAACCGGGAGAGGUAAGAGGUACUACAGGGGUAGGAGUGAAAUCUUGUAAUCCCUGUGGGACCACCUGUGGCGAAGGCGUCUUACCAGAACGGGUUCGACGGUGAGGGACGAAAGCUGGGGGCACGAACCGGAUUAGGUACCCGGGUAGUCCCAGCCGUAAACGAUGCUCGCUAGGUGUCAGGCAUGGCGUGACCGUGCCUGGUGCCGCAGGGAAGCCGUGAAGCGAGCCACCUGGGAAGUACGGCCGCAAGGCUGAAACUUAA